UGAUUCAAAGUCUGACUGUUCAUGGUACUAAAGCAUUUCUGUCUGAGAAAAACAUUCCUGCAUUUAAUUUGUUGGUGGCAGUGUCCUUAUAUGACAAAACCAGUCUCACAAUUCAUUAUAAACAAUAACCUCAGCCGGGCAUGAUCCACCAUGCCCGGCAGAGAAAAUGAAUCUUAAGAUAUCUCUGCCCCUCUUGGGCCCCUCGCCCUUUCUUCUUCAUGUCUCUUCCAUGAGGGCUGAAUAUUUGUCAUACACUUUUGAGCGUGAAAAGGGACACUAUUAACAAUUAUACCAGGGCAACAGGCAUAAAACUGUAACAUGGGGCCAGCCUGGUUUAACUUCAUAUGCUCCUUAAAGGACUUUAUUGAUGCCACCUUCACUCCAUUUCCAGUAUUCAUCAUCCUCUGCAUUCCCAUCACACUCUGUAACUAUCUUUAAUAUGGUGCAGACCACAUGGCAUCUGUUAUUUGUGCUAUGUUUGUCUCUCCCUUUGACUUGUGAGCUCUUUGAGGGUAAGAGCUCUAUCUUAAUCAUCUUUGCCCAGUACCUCCAUUCUACAGCGCAAGGUCUGGCACAACCAAGGCGCUCAAUGUUUGAUGAUGAAGAAUAAUGGAUACAUUUGGAAGGAGAUAGGUGACAGACUUGGCGAAGACUGGAGAAGUUAUU
This 666-nucleotide long non-coding RNA is filed under the name Homo sapiens (human). RNAcentral's name for it is "non-protein coding lnc-TAF2-3:1". Lineage: Eukaryota; Metazoa; Chordata; Mammalia; Primates; Hominidae. The record is from RNAcentral.